GGGGCUGUAGCUCAGAUGGGAGAGCGCCAGCUUUGCAAGCUGGAUGUCAGGGGUUCGAUUCCCCUCAGCUCCACCA
Molecule: transfer RNA, 76 nt
Filed under: Chlamydiota bacterium
Lineage: Bacteria; Pseudomonadati; Chlamydiota
Description: Chlamydiae bacterium (anaerobic digester metagenome) tRNA-Ala
Rfam family: tRNA
About the family: Transfer RNA (tRNA) molecules are approximately 80 nucleotides in length. Their secondary structure includes four short double-helical elements and three loops (D, anti-codon, and T loops). Further hydrogen bonds mediate the characteristic L-shaped molecular structure. tRNAs have two regions of fundamental functional importance: the anti-codon, which is responsible for specific mRNA codon recognition, and the 3' end, to which the tRNAs corresponding amino acid is attached (by aminoacyl-tRNA synthetases). tRNAs cope with the degeneracy of the genetic code in two manners: having more than one tRNA (with a specific anti-codon) for a particular amino acid; and 'wobble' base-pairing, i.e. permitting non-standard base-pairing at the 3rd anti-codon position.
Source: RNAcentral